Molecule: ribosomal RNA, 482 nt
Filed under: uncultured bacterium
Lineage: Bacteria
Description: partial 16S ribosomal RNA
Rfam family: Bacterial small subunit ribosomal RNA
Source: RNAcentral
AUUGAACGCUGGCGGCAUGCUUUACACAUGCCAGUCGAACGGUAACAGGCCGCAAGGUGCUGACGAGUGGCGAACGGGUGAGUAAUGCAUCGGAACGUGCCCAGUCGUGGGGGAUAACUACUCGAAAGAGUAGCUAAUACCGCAUACGAUCUAUGGAUGAAAGCGGGGGACCGUAAGGCCUCGCGCGAUUGGAGCGGCCGAUGUCAGAUUAGGUAGUUGGUGGGGUAAAGGCUCACCAAGCCAACGAUCUGUGGCUGGUCUGAGAGGACGACCAGCCACACUGGGACUGAGACACGGCCCAGACUCCUACGGGAGGCAGCAGUGGGGAAUUUUGGACAAUGGGCGCAAGCCUGAUCCAGCAAUGCCGCGUGCAGGAAGAAGGCCUUCGGGUUGUAAACUGCUUUUGUACGGAACGAAACGGCUCUGGUUAAUACCCGGGGCUAAUGACGGUACCGUAAGAAUAAGCACCGGCUAACUACGUG